Molecule: ribosomal RNA, 497 nt
Filed under: uncultured bacterium
Lineage: Bacteria
Description: partial 16S ribosomal RNA
Rfam family: Bacterial small subunit ribosomal RNA
Source: RNAcentral
GACGAACGCUGGCGGCGUGCCUAAUACAUGCAAGUUGAGCGCUGAAGGUUGGUACUUGUACCAACUGGAUGAGCAGCGAACGGGUGAGUAACGCGUGGGGAAUCUGCCUUUGAGCGGGGGACAACAUUUGGAAACGAAUGCUAAUACCGCAUAAAAACUUUAAACACAAGUUUUAAGUUUGAAAGAUGCAAUUGCAUCACUCAAAGAUGAUCCCGCGUUGUAUUAGCUAGUUGGUGAGGUAAAGGCUCACCAAGGCGAUGAUACAUAGCCGACCUGAGAGGGUGAUCGGCCACAUUGGGACUGAGACACGGCCCAAACUCCUACGGGAGGCAGCAGUAGGGAAUCUUCGGCAAUGGACGAAAGUCUGACCGAGCAACGUCGCGUGAGUGAAGAAGGUUUUCGGAUCGUAAAACUCUGUUGGUAGAGAAGAACGUUGGUGAGAGUGGAAAGCUCAUCAAGUGACGGUAACUACCCAGAAAGGGACGGCUAACUACGUG